Molecule: ribosomal RNA, 274 nt
Filed under: uncultured prokaryote
Description: partial 16S ribosomal RNA
Rfam family: Bacterial small subunit ribosomal RNA
Source: RNAcentral
UACGUAGGGGCUAGCGUUAUCCGGAAUUACUGGGCGUAAAGGGUGCGUAGGUGGUUUCUUAAGUCAGAGGUGAAAGGCUACGGCUCAACCGUAGUAAGCUCUUGAAACUGUAAGACUUGAGUGCAGGAGGGAGAGUGGAAUUCCUAGUGUAGCGGUGAAAUGCGUAGAUAUUAGGAGGAACACCAGUUGCGAAGGCGGCUCUCUGGACUGUAACUGACGCUGAGGCACGAAAGCGUGGGGAGCAAACAGGAUUAGAUACCCUGGUAGUCCCUGA